Molecule: ribosomal RNA, 465 nt
Filed under: Vreelandella stevensii
Lineage: Bacteria; Pseudomonadati; Pseudomonadota; Gammaproteobacteria; Oceanospirillales; Halomonadaceae
Description: partial 16S ribosomal RNA
Rfam family: Bacterial small subunit ribosomal RNA
Source: RNAcentral
CCUACGGGUGGCUGCAGUGGGGAAUAUUGGACAAUGGGGGGAACCCUGAUCCAGCCAUGCCGCGUGUGUGAAGAAGGCCCUCGGGUUGUAAAGCACUUUCAGUGAGGAAGAACGCCUGGUGGUUAAUACCCAUCAGGAAAGACAUCACUCACAGAAGAAGCACCGGCUAACUCCGUGCCAGCAGCCGCGGUAAUACGGAGGGUGCGAGCGUUAAUCGGAAUUACUGGGCGUAAAGCGCGCGUAGGUGGCUUGAUAAGCCGGUUGCGAAAGCCCCGGGCUCAACCUGGGAACGGCAUCCGGAACUGUCAAGCUAGAGUGCAGGAGAGGAAGGUAGAAUUCCCGGUGUAGCGGUGAAAUGCGUAGAGAUCGGGAGGAAUACCAGUGGCGAAGGCGGCCUUCUGGACUGACACUGACACUGAGGUGCGAAAGCGUGGGUAGCAAACAGGAUUAGAUACCCUAGUAGUC